CGACUUUGAUCCUGGCUCAGAACGAACGCUGGCGGCGUGCUUAAGACAUGCAAGUCGAACGGUAAGGCACCUUCGGGUGUACACGAGUGGCGCACGGGUGAGUAACGCGUGGGUAAUCUGCCUUCGGGUCUGGGACAACUCCGGGAAACUGGAGCUAAUACCGGAUGAGACCACGAAGUCUUCGGGCUUUGCGGAAAAAGAUGGCCUCUUCUUGAAAGCUAUCGCCUGUCGAUGAGCCCGCGUCCCAUUAGCUUGUUGGUGAGGUAAAAGCUCACCAAGGCAUCGAUGGGUAGCUGGUCUGAGAGGAUGAUCAGCCACACUGGAACUGAGACACGGUCCAGACUCCUACGGGAGGCAGCAGUCGGGAAUCUUGGGCAAUGGGGGAAACCCUGACCCANCAACGCCGCGUGAGGGAUGAAAGCCCUCGGGUCGUAAACCUCUGUCGGGAGGGAAGAAAGUGCCGUAGACGAAUAGUCUGCGGUAUUGACGGUACCUCCAAAGGAANGUCNGCUAACUCCGUGCCAGCAACCCGCGGUAAUACCGANGGACC
This 550-nucleotide ribosomal RNA is filed under the name uncultured delta proteobacterium. RNAcentral describes it as "bacterial SSU rRNA". It matches the Rfam family "Bacterial small subunit ribosomal RNA", at positions 9 to 535 of the family's 1533-position model. Lineage: Bacteria; Deltaproteobacteria. The record is from RNAcentral.